This 269-nucleotide ribosomal RNA is filed under the name uncultured bacterium. Its description in RNAcentral is "partial 16S ribosomal RNA". It matches the Rfam family "Bacterial small subunit ribosomal RNA", at positions 30 to 302 of the family's 1533-position model. The record is from RNAcentral.
AUUGAACGCUGGCGGUAUGCUUAACACAUGCAAGUCGAACGGUAACAGGCCUUCGGGCGCUGACGAGUGGCGGACGGUGAGUAACGCGUAGGAAUCUGCCUCAUAGUGGGGGACAACGUGGGGAAACUCACGCUAAUACCGCAUACGCCCUACGGGGAAAGCGGGGGAGUCUUCGGACCUCGCGCUAUGAGAUGAGCCUGCGUUAGAUUAGCUAGUUGGUAGGGUAAAGGCCUACCAAGGCGACGAUCUAUAGCUGGUCUGAGAGGACG